AGCGAAUAGAUACCCGGGUAGUCCUAGCCUUAAACGAUGAAUGCUUGGUGUCUGGGGUUUUAUAGUCCCCGGGUGCCGUCGCUAAACGCUUUAAAGCAUUACCGCCUGGGGAGUACGGUCGCGAAGACUGAAACUCAAAGGAAUUGAACGGGGACCCGCACGAAGCGGUGGAGCAUGUGGUUUAAUUCGUAACGCAACGCGAAGAACCUUACCUGGGCUAGUAAUGCCUCUGACCGGCGUAGAGAUACGCUUUCCUGGGUAAAACCAGGCAGGGUGCAAGGUGCUGCAUGGCUGUCGUCAGCUCGUGUCGUGAGAUGUUGGGUUAAGUCCCCGCAACGAGCGCAACCCUUAUCAAUAGUUGCCAGCGGUUCGGCCGGGCACUCUAUUGAGACUGCCGUUGACAAACGGAGGAAGUGGGGAUGACGUCAAGUCUCAUGGCCUUAUGUCCACGGGUCUACACGACGUGCUACAAUGGCAAGUACAAAGACGCUGCAAA
Molecule: ribosomal RNA, 496 nt
Filed under: uncultured bacterium
Lineage: Bacteria
Description: bacterial SSU rRNA
Rfam family: Bacterial small subunit ribosomal RNA
Source: RNAcentral